AAUGGUUAGUAAAAAAGGAAGCGAAAGUGAAAGCUGGAGCAAAUCCUCAAAACUAAUCAUAGUUGGAUUGGUUUCUGAACUAGAAUCCAUGAAA
This 94-nucleotide non-coding RNA is filed under the name Heterostelium album PN500. Lineage: Eukaryota; Evosea; Eumycetozoa; Acytosteliales; Acytosteliaceae. The record is from Rfam by way of RNAcentral.